This 1371-nucleotide ribosomal RNA is filed under the name uncultured bacterium. RNAcentral's name for it is "bacterial SSU rRNA". It matches the Rfam family "Bacterial small subunit ribosomal RNA", at positions 28 to 1381 of the family's 1533-position model. The record is from RNAcentral.
GAUGAACGCUGGCGGCGUGCCUAAUACAUGCAAGUCGAGCGAACAGACGAGGAGCUUGCUCCUUUGACGUUAGCGGCGGACGGGUGAGUAACACGUGGGUAACCUACCUAUAAGACUGGGAUAACUUCGGGAAACCGGAGCUAAUACCGGAUAAUAUUUCGAACCGCAUGGUUCGAUAGUGAAAGAUGGCUUUGCUAUCACUUAUAGAUGGACCUGCGCCGUAUUAGCUAGUUGGUAAGGUAACGGCUUACCAAGGCAACGAUACGUAGCCGACCUGAGAGGGUGAUCGGCCACACUGGAACUGAGACACGGUCCAGACUCCUACGGGAGGCAGCAGUAGGGAAUCUUCCGCAAUGGGCGAAAGCCUGACGGAGCAACGCCGCGUGAGUGAUGAAGGUCUUCGGAUCGUAAAACUCUGUUAUUAGGGAAGAACAAACGUGUAAGUAACUGUGCACGUCUUGACGGUACCUAAUCAGAAAGCCACGGCUAACUACGUGCCAGCAGCCGCGGUAAUACGUAGGUGGCAAGCGUUAUCCGGAAUUAUUGGGCGUAAAGCGCGCGUAGCGGUUUUUUAAGUCUGAUGUGAAAGCCCACGGCUCAACCGUGGAGGGUCAUUGGAAACUGGAAAACUUGAGUGCAGAAGAGGAAAGUGGAAUUCCAUGUGUAGCGGUGAAAUGCGCAGAGAUAUGGAGGAACACCAGUGGCGAAGGCGACUUUCUGGUCUGUAACUGACGCUGAUGUGCGAAAGCGUGGGGAUCAAACAGGAUUAGAUACCCUGGUAGUCCACGCCGUAAACGAUGAGUGCUAAGUGUUAGGGGGUUUCCGCCCCUUAGUGCUGCAGCUAACGCAUUAAGCACUCCGCCUGGGGAGUACGACCGCAAGGUUGAAAUUCAAAGGAAUUGACGGGGACCCGCACAAGCGGUGGAGCAUGUGGUUUAAUUCGAAGCAACGCGAAGAACCUUACCAAAUCUUGACAUCCUUUGACCCUUCUAGAGAUAGAAGUUUCCCCUUCGGGGGACAAAGUGACAGGUGGUGCAUGGUUGUCGUCAGCUCGUGUCGUGAGAUGUUGGGUUAAGUCCCGCAACGAGCGCAACCCUUAAGCUUAGUUGCCAUCAUUAAGUUGGGCACUCUAAGUUGACUGCCGGUGACAAACCGGAGGAAGGUGGGGAUGACGUCAAAUCAUCAUGCCCCUUAUGGUUUGGGCUACACACGUGCUACAAUGGACAAUACAAAGGGCAGCGAAACCGCGAGGUCAAGCAAAUCCCAUAAAGUUGUUCUCAGUUCGGAUUGUAGUCUGCAACUCGACUACAUGAAGCUGGAAUCGCUAGUAAUCGUAGAUCAGCAUGCUACGGUGAAUACGUUCCCGGGUCU